Molecule: ribosomal RNA, 376 nt
Filed under: uncultured bacterium
Lineage: Bacteria
Description: bacterial SSU rRNA
Rfam family: Bacterial small subunit ribosomal RNA
Source: RNAcentral
AUACGUAGGGGGCGAGCGUUGUCCGGAAUUAUUGGGCGUAAAGGGCGCGUAGGCGGCCGUUUAAGUCUGAUGUGAAAGUGCGGUGCUUAACGCCGUAAAGCAUUGGAAACUGGACGGCUUGAGGACAGGAGAGGAAAGUGGAAUUCCUAGUGUAGCGGUGAAAUGCGUAGAUAUUAGGAGGAACACCAGUGGCGAAGGCGACUUUCUGGACUGUAACUGACGCUGAGGCGCGAAAGCGUGGGGAGCAAACAGGAUUAGAUACCCUGGUAGUCCACGCCGUAAACGAUGAGUGCUAGGUGUAGAGGGUAUCGACCCCUUCUGUGCCGUAGUUAACACAAUAAGCACUCCGCCUGGGGACUACGGCCGCAAGGCUAAA